AAAUCUCCCGGGGCUCACUGGGAGGGUGCGCCGGAUACUGAGGGGCUAGAGUGUGGGAGAGGAAAGUGGAAUUCCUGGUGUAGCGGUGAAAUGCGUAGAUAUCAGGAGGAACACCGGUGGGUGUAAACGGCUUUCUGGACCAUAACUGACGCUGAGGCACGAAAGCGUGGGUAGCAAACAGGAUUAGAUACCCUGGUAGUCCACGCCCUUAAACGAUGCAUAUUUGGUGUGGGCCAUUCAUUUGGUCCGUGCCGGAGCUAACGCGUUAAAUAUGCCGCCUGGGGAGUACAGUCGCAAGGCUGAAACUCAAAGGAAUUGACGGGGGCCCGCACAAGCGGUGGAGCAUGUGGUUUAAUUCGACGCAACGCGAAGAACCUUACCUGGGCUCGAAAUGCUAUGGAUCAGUCUGUGAAAGCGGGCUUUCCCGCAAGGGACCGUAGUAUAGGUGCUGCAUGGCUGUCGUCAGCUCGUGUCGUGAGAUGUUGGGUUAAGUCCCGCAACGAGCGCAACCCUUGUCCUGUGUUGCCCUCAUUCAGUUGGGAACUCGCAGGAGACCGCCAGGGAUAACCUGGAGGAAGGUGGGGAUGACGUCAAGUCCUCAUGGCCUUUAUGUCCAGGGCUACACACGUGCUACAAUGGACGGUACAAAGCGCUGCCAACCCGCGAGGGGGAGCCAAUCGCAAAAAACCGUUCUCAGUUCGGAUUGCAGGCUGCAACUCGCCUGCAUGAAGCUGGAAUCGCUAGUAAUGGCGGAUCAGAACGCCGCCGUGAAUAUGUUCCCGGGCCUUGUACACACCGCCCGUCACAUCACGAAAGUGGGUUGUACUAGAAGUCCUCGCGCCAACCCGAAAGGGAGGCAGCGGCCCAAGGUAUGACUCAUGAUUGGGGUGAAGUCGUAAC
This 900-nucleotide ribosomal RNA is filed under the name uncultured bacterium. RNAcentral's name for it is "bacterial SSU rRNA". It matches the Rfam family "Bacterial small subunit ribosomal RNA", at positions 597 to 1492 of the family's 1533-position model. The record is from RNAcentral.